GGCUACCACAUCUAAGGAAGGCAGCAGGCACGCAAAUUACCCAAUGAACGAAGUUCGAGGUAGUGACGAAAAAUAACGAUAGCGGACUCAUCCGAGGCCCGCUAAUUGGAAUGAGUACACUUUAAAACCGUCCCCGAGGAUCUAUUGGAGGGCAAGUCUGGUGCCAGCAGCCGCGGUAAUUCCAGCUCCAAUAGCGUAUAUUAAAGUUGUUGUGGUUAAAAAGCUCGUAGUUGGAUCUCAACAGACCUGGAUCGGUUUACUUUGUGUAAUACUGAUCCAGAGCUGUGCUUUUGAUGGAGGUUUAGGGGUGCUCUUAACCGAGUGUCUCUGAGUGCCAUCAGGUUUACUUUGAAAAAAUUAGAGUGCUUCAAGCAGGCUUUUAUGCCAGAAUAUUUGUGCAUGGAAUAAUAGAAUAGGAUGUUGAUCUUAUUUUGUUGGUUUUCGAGACUUGACAUAAUGAUUAAUAGGGACAGUCGGGGGCAUUUGUAUUCAAACGACAGAGGUGAAAAUUCUUGGACCGUUUGAAGACAAACUACUGCGAAAGCAUUUGCCAAGAAUGUUUCAUUAAUCAAGAACGAAAGUUAGAGGUCGAAAGGCGAUUAGAUACCGCCCUAGUUCUAACCAUAAACGAUGCCAGCUAGCGAUCUGCUGACGUUUUUACUGUAGACUCAGCAGGAAGCUUCCGGGAAACCAAAGCAUUUGGGUUCCAGGGGAAGUAUGGUUGCAAAGCUGAAACUUAAAGGAAUUGACGGAAGGGCACCACCAGGAGUGGAGCCUGUGGCUUAAUUUGACUCAACACGGGAAAUCUCACCAGGCCCGGACACUGGAAGGAUUGACAGAUUGAUAGCUCUUUCUUGAUUCGGUGGGUGGUGGUGCAUGGCCGUUCUUAGUUGGUGGAGUGAUUUGUCUGGUUAAUUCCGAUAACGAACGAGACUCUGUCCUGCUAAAUAGUGUUAUCUUCUUUUUUGAGAUGACAAUUCUUCUUAGAGGGACUGGCAACUCUUAGUUGCACGAGAUUGAGCAAUAACAGGUCUGUGAUGCCCUUAGAUGUUCUGGGCCGCACACGCGCUACACUGAAUAGAUCAACGUGUCACCCUUCCCGAAAGGGACGGGUAAACCGCUGAACCCUAUUCGUGGUAGGGAUCGGGGCUUGCAAUUAUUCCCCGUGAACCAGGAAUUCCCAGUAGGCACAGGUCAUAAGCCUGUGUCGAUUACGUCCCUGCCCUUUGUACACACCGCCCGUCGCUACUACCGAUUGAACGUUUUAGUGAGGACCUCGGAUUGUGUUUCAGUUGGCUCACGCUGACUGUUUUGCGAGAAGACGUCCAAACUGAAGCGUUUAGAGGAA
RNAcentral lists this ribosomal RNA (1348 nucleotides) under uncultured marine eukaryote. RNAcentral describes it as "SSU rRNA". It matches the Rfam family "Eukaryotic small subunit ribosomal RNA", at positions 405 to 1781 of the family's 1831-position model. The record is from RNAcentral.